CCCUUAGAUGUCCUGGGCUGCACGCGCGCUACACUGACGCAAUCAACGAGUUCCACGCCUGACUUGAAAAGGCUGGGCAAUCUGACGAAAUUGCGCCGUGAUGGGGAUAGAUCGUUGUAAUUGUUGAUCUUCAACGAGGAAUUCCUAGUAAGCACGCAUCAUCAGUUCGUGCUGAUUACGUCCCUGCCCUUUGUACACACCGCCCGUCGCUCCUACCGAUUGAGUGAUCCGGUAAAUAAUAGACACAAUUCUUGCGUCUUGUUGUGGGAAGUUCUGUGAACCUUAUCUCUUAGAGGAAGGAGAAGUCGUANCA
This 313-nucleotide ribosomal RNA is filed under the name uncultured eukaryote. Its description in RNAcentral is "partial 18S ribosomal RNA". It matches the Rfam family "Eukaryotic small subunit ribosomal RNA", at positions 1470 to 1796 of the family's 1831-position model. The record is from RNAcentral.